UACGGCCGCAAGGUUAAAACUCAAAUGAAUUGACGGGGGCCCGCACAAGCGGUGGAGCAUGUGGUUUAAUUCGAUGCAACGCGAAGAACCUUACCUGGUCUUGACAUCCACAGAACUUUCCAGAGAUGGAUUGGUGCCUUCGGGAACUGUGAGACAGGUGCUGCAUGGCUGUCGUCAGCUCGUGUUGUGAAAUGUUGGGUUAAGUCCCGCAACGAGCGCAACCCUUAUCCUUUGUUGCCAGCGAUUAGGUCGGGAACUCAAAGGAGACUGCCAGUGAUAAACUGGAGGAAGGUGGGGAUGACGUCAAGUCAUCAUGGCCCUUACGACCAGGGCUACACACGUGCUACAAUGGCGCAUACAAAGAGAAGCGACCUCGCGAGAGCAAGCGGACCUCAUAAAGUGCGUCGUAGUCCGGAUUGGAGUCUGCAACUCGACUCCAUGAAGUCGGAAUCGCUAGUAAUCGUGGAUCAGAAUGCCACGGUGAAUACGUUCCCGGGCCUUGUACACACCGCCCGUCACACCAUGGGAGUGGGUUGCAAAAGAAGUAGGUAGCUUAACCUUCGGGAGGGCGCUUACCACUUUGUGAUUCAUGACUGGGGUGAAGUCGUAACAAGGUAACCGUAGGGGAACCUGCGGUUGGAUCACCUCCUUACCUUAAAGAAGC
Molecule: ribosomal RNA, 664 nt
Filed under: Salmonella enterica
Lineage: Bacteria; Pseudomonadati; Pseudomonadota; Gammaproteobacteria; Enterobacterales; Enterobacteriaceae
Also listed under: 1 other name
Description: bacterial SSU rRNA
Rfam family: Bacterial small subunit ribosomal RNA
Source: RNAcentral